This 228-nucleotide ribosomal RNA is filed under the name Clostridioides difficile. RNAcentral describes it as "partial 23S ribosomal RNA". It matches the Rfam family "Bacterial large subunit ribosomal RNA", at positions 2625 to 2855 of the family's 2925-position model. Lineage: Bacteria; Bacillati; Bacillota; Clostridia; Peptostreptococcales; Peptostreptococcaceae. The record is from RNAcentral.
GACAGUUCGGUCCCUAUCCGUCGCAGGCGUAGGAAAUUUGAGAAGACCUGUCCUUAGUACGGGAGGACCGGGAUGGACGUACCUCUGGUGUACCAGUUGUCCUGCCAAGGGCAUGGCUGGGUAGCUAUGUACGGAAUGGAUAAGCGCUGAAAGCAUCUAAGCGCGAAGCCAACUUCAAGAUAAGAUUUCCCACCGCAAGGGUAAGACCCCAGAAAGACUAUCUGGUUG